UUUUUGUUAAAAAUUUAAAGUCGGGCCUGCCCACUGAUAUUUUAAAUGGCCGUGGUAUUUUGACCGUGCUAAGGUAGCAUAAUCAUUAGUUUUUUAAUUGAAAGCUGGAAUGAAGGGUUUGAUAAGAAAAUGACUGUCUCUGUUUAAUUUAAUUAGAAUUUUAUUUUUAAGUUCAAAAGCUUAAUUUUUAUUAAAAGACGAGAAGACCCUAUAGAGUUUAAUAGUUUAAAGUAAUUUUUAUUUUAGAAUUAAUAUAUUUAUUAUUUUAUAUUAUUUAGUUGGGGUGAUUGAAAAAUUUAAUUAACUUUUUUUAUAUUAUGCCAUUAAUUUAUGAAUAUUUGAUCCAAUUUUUUUGAUUAUAAGAUAAAAUUACCUUAGGGAUAACAGCGUAAUUUUUUUAGAAAGUUCAUAUUAAAAGAAAAGAUUGCGACCUCGAUGUUGGAUUAAAAUUUAAUUUUGGUGUAGAAGCUAAAAAGUUUAAGUCUGUUCGACUUUUAAAAUUUUACA
This 507-nucleotide ribosomal RNA is filed under the name Zygogramma exclamationis. RNAcentral describes it as "partial 16S ribosomal RNA". The stretch from base 380 to 507 matches the Rfam family "Bacterial large subunit ribosomal RNA", at positions 2473 to 2600 of the family's 2925-position model. Lineage: Eukaryota; Metazoa; Arthropoda; Insecta; Coleoptera; Chrysomelidae. The record is from RNAcentral.